Molecule: ribosomal RNA, 705 nt
Filed under: Triticum aestivum (bread wheat)
Lineage: Eukaryota; Viridiplantae; Streptophyta; Magnoliopsida; Poales; Poaceae
Description: partial small subunit ribosomal RNA
Source: RNAcentral
AUGACAGCAUGGGGCUCCGGUCUUGCCGACGAUGAUAGGACGGUGGUGCUCUGCCUCAGCACGCACCACAGGAUUGGCAUUGCCAAGCCCGGCGAUGACCGCUGGAUGCUGCUCAGGCCCAGAGACAACUUGCUGGGGGAAGCACCCUUCAUAAUGUUUGCAGGCCGCUUCUACUGCGUCACUCGAGAUGGUGUCAUGGUGCUAAAAAUGGAUGAAGGUAAGCCACCACGGCUGGAACUAGCUGUUAACCUGAAUAUGGGUGUCUCGCUGUCUGAUGAUUACAUGCACCUCGUGGACAACUGUGGUGAGCUAUUGCUGGUGCACCGUCAAAGGUACGACACACAUUCGAUUCCCAGGAAUAAUUUUAAUAUGUGGAGAAGGAGGUACGGCACGUAUCGUGUGGAUUUGGACAGCGGGACGCUACUCCCACUCAAGAGCUUGGGCGGCAAAGGGCGUGCCGUGUUCAUGGGCAUGUACUCCUCUCUGUCCGUCUCCCUAGAGAGUUUCCCCGCCGGCUCUAUUAUCGCCGACACCAUCUACUUGAGCUUCGACUUUGGCGAGACUGAGUAUUCAAACGUUGGAGCAUAUCAUCUCACCUCUGGAUGCCUUGGACGUGACAGCCGACGCUGGGGAGGCCUGGUGCCACAGCCGCAUACACUCGUUGACUGUCUAUGUUUCGCCAAUACUCUCGAGUAUAUUAUCUGA